Molecule: long non-coding RNA, 2730 nt
Organism: Phocoena sinus (vaquita)
Lineage: Eukaryota; Metazoa; Chordata; Mammalia; Artiodactyla; Phocoenidae
Source: Ensembl
AACGAAUUUGAAUGAGGAGCCUCAGCGCUUUCGGCGCCAUUUUCGAGUGAUGCCUGAUCUCAUCAAUCUAGCGGGAGAGACGGGAUAACCUGUCGGAGAGCGUAUUGCCACUAGGACUCAGACGAAAAAUUACUAAAAAAAUCGCCAAAAAUAACUUCGAGCAAAGGGCACUUGGCGGAGCUUCGCCAGGGUUGGCGCAGCCGGUUUUGACCUUUAGGAGAGAGCCAAUUCUGGAGAACAACCUAACUUCUUUGAUUGAACAUUCACAUAAUGCAUUGGAACAUGAUAGGAGGUUAAGGUGAAUAACAACAAAAUGAAGACCAUAUAAAACAAGCCCCCUACUUAGCCCUGCAAUUCUUACCUUGUAAGUAUUAACUCACAGUCCCCCUGCCAUUGCUGUAAAAAGUUAGUUUGGUGUCAUAUUUUGCUUUAUUUCUGAAUUUUUUUUCUACCAUCCUAGAAUGACAACUUUCUAACCUCCCCUGACCCCCAACACAUUGAAGUUCGAUGUUAAUUUAGUCCAUUUUAGAGCAAAAAUAGUGUCAUUGCCUUGGGUAAGUUUUCUGUUUUGGAAAGGAUUUUACAGCCAGGCCCUAUCAUCUCUAAAUCUGAGAAUCAUAAUUUUAAACCCUUUUCCUUCAAAGGAAUUUACAAAUAAGUAGUGGUCAUUUUUAUUAUCAUCAUUAUUCAGGUUUAUUGACAGUUAUUUUAUGGUUUUAUAAAGUGGAAGUGUCCUCUCCACUGGAGAAAUAGUUUUUUUCAUUUAUCUGUUUUUACAUUUUACUAGAUUACACUUCUGACUUCUUUGUGACGUGCUUAAAAUUUAGCUGUUAAACUUCAAGAGGUGGGAAAAACAGGAAGGCAAUCCCUUUUCCUUCCUUUUAUAUAUACACAUGCACACCUCUUAGAAUAAGAAACAUUUUUACCCUGAUUCAUUUUACUUUUGAGAAACUUGUAAAUGCUAAGGGAAUAAUUCUAAUAGGUUAGCUGAAAUUAAUAUCAUACCCCUAGAAAAACUGUCAAAAAGAAGGUUAUGGUAAAUACACAAGAUACUUAUUUCCCUAAAUUUGAGACCCUAAAAUCAGUUACCAAAAAGAUUCAUUUCCAUGUAUUCCUUCAGCUAAUUUUACAUCUCUAAAUAAAAGAAACUCAACUGCUACUGUUUCUGUUCUUGAUAUUGAGGGAUGGCCCUGUUUAAAUGAAAACUAGUGCUUCAGGUGCUUCUCUUACAUUACCUCAUACCAUUGCAUUAGUGACCCAGUAAUAAUAUGUAUUAUUAUUAAAUAAUGUGUAUGUGUCAAGGAGUGACUUUAUGAUCAUAGAUCAGCCAUUGAGCUCAAUUAAGUAGUUUUCAGGGUGUGAAUCAAUUAAAUAUUGAAAAUUUGUAGUAAUGAGCCAGUUUGAAGAAUAGUAACCAAAUGCCACUGAUCACUUCUUUUUAUAAUUUUUUCCCUUUAUAUUUUUGUUGCUGGAAAACUGGAAUGGAAACAUUUGCAAAUCCCCAAAGAAUCCUAUAUAAUCCAGGCUUGGCUUUCUUAAUUGGUCCCUUGGAAGCCAGCUCAGCUUUUCUUCAACUUAAAUCUCAGAAAAAGAAAUCUUUUCAGUUGGUAUUGCAGUCUUACUGUAGACUGGAGGGCAGUCCACUUUUCAAAAAGAAAUAGGUAUCAUUAAUUUCCAACAGAUUUAUCAGUACAGAUAACAUCACAUUCUUAAGCUCAUUUCAUCUCCUUUAUAAAUUUCUAAGCAAGCAGCCUUGCUUGGAUACUCUCCAGCAUCUUUUAAAAUAGGUCAUUUGUGGUAUUUCAUAGUUGAAAUGCUUACUCUUGUCUCUUCUAUGUAAUAUGCCUGGAGUUACUUUUAAUCUUAGAUACUAGAAUAGCGUUGUUUCCAAUUAAACAAUACCCAGAAGAAUAGGCACAUAGUGACAGUGGUCAUUGAUUCUUCAUGAUUGUGUGUGUAUUCCGUCUUUCUCUCUUUUAUGUUUAUUUUACACUAUUGUUUCUUUCUUUUUUUAAUAUUUAUUUAUUUGUUUGUUUAUUUGGCUGUGUCGGGUCUUAGUUGCGGCACACAGGAUCUUCGUUGAGGCAUGCGGGAUCUUUCAUUGCGAUGCAUGGGCUCUUCGUUAUGGCGCGUGGGCUUCUCUCUAGUUGUGAUGUGCAGGUUUUCUCUUUAGUUGUGGCACUCAGGCUCCAGAGUAUGUGGGCUCUGUAGUUUUGCGGCACACAGGCUCUCUAGUUGAGACCCGCAAGCUCAGUAGUUGUGGCACACGGGCUUAGUUGCCCCACGGCAUGUGGGAUCUUAGUUCCCCGACCAGGGAUCGAACCUGCGCCCCCUGCAUUGGAAGAUGGAUUCUUUUACCACUGGACCACCAGGGAAGUCCCCAUUGUUUUUUUAAGAGAGGGAUUUUUUUGAACUAUUCACUUGUGGAAUAUGGAUAUUCCGGAAAUUGUGGAGUAUUAGUGUUCCAUAUGUUUGAUACUGUAAAAAUUAAAUAAUGAUAGUGUUUUUGAUUCAUUUUUACAAAUUGAGUAGAGAUGAAAUAUUUUUCAAAUUUGAUUUUCAAUUUUAAACUCUUAAACUUUUGUUGCUUAACAUAAAACAUUUAGAAAUAGUCAUACUUCUUCCUACUUUUUCUUUUUUGAGCUAUGUUUUUUGAUUUUUAUAUAUUUCUGUUAUGUGAAUUUAAAGUAAAUUAAUGUAUCAUUUGGUGCUAAAUAAAAUAACAUCUUU